AAAACCCUAAUCCUCUCAUCUCUUAUCUGCAACACACAACACCCCUACUCUCCAUCUCUCAAAUACACACACACACACACAUCUCAACAGGGCCGACAUUCUCCUGCCACCACUCACCUGCACCCCGCGUCUCACUCCCUGCUCCUUCUCUCGAAAUUCUGGCAACCACAACAGCUUGGGUUUGUUUCGGGUUGGGUAACGAGGGUUUCGGGCUGGAUCGACGACGACUCAGUGUAGCGGUCAGCGGUUCAGUUUUUCGCGACGGCGGCAGCAUCUUGGGCGACGGGGGUGGUGUAUGUUUCUUUUUCCUUGCUCCGACGAGUCCCAGUGGUGGUCGACGACUGACCGGCGGCGGUCGGAGCCACGCCGAUGCCGGAGACACCAGGUGGUGGAACAGUUAUGGCUGCUUAAGUUGUGGUUCAGAUUUGGUACAAGUUUGGGUUAGCUUCGGGUCAAACUUCGGGAUUGGUUCGGCUCAGGUUAUGUUUGGGUUCGAUUAGCUUAGUGCUGGCUCGAUUCACUCGCGUAUCAGGUUCGGUUCGAGUUUCCGGUUUGAGUUCGGGUCUGUUCUUGUUUCGGGUCACGUUUCUCCGCUGCCGGAGAUCGGAGAACAACCAGAGUUAUGACGGAACUCGAUUCCUUUUGUUUCGGACCUUAGGUACUUAUGGAGCUUGCACUGGAGGAGCGGGACGUUGUGGGCAGUGGAUUAUGAACGCUAUGUUUAAACAUUUCGAAUAAUUGAACUUAUGGUUUACUUGGGUUAUUUACUUAUGCUUCCG
This 779-nucleotide long non-coding RNA is filed under the name Helianthus annuus (common sunflower). The record is from RNAcentral. Lineage: Eukaryota; Viridiplantae; Streptophyta; Magnoliopsida; Asterales; Asteraceae.